RNAcentral lists this ribosomal RNA (1346 nucleotides) under uncultured bacterium. Its description in RNAcentral is "bacterial SSU rRNA". It matches the Rfam family "Bacterial small subunit ribosomal RNA", at positions 28 to 1381 of the family's 1533-position model. The record is from RNAcentral.
GACGAACGCUGGCGGCGUGCUUAACACAUGCAAGUCGAACGGAAAGGCCCUGCUUUUGUGGGGUGCUCGAGUGGCGAACGGGUGAGUAACACGUGAGUAACCUGCCCUUGACUUUGGGAUAACUUCAGGAAACUGGGGCUAAUACCGGAUAGGAGCUCCUGCUGCAUGGUGGGGGUUGGAAAGUUUCGGCGGUUGGGGAUGGACUCGCGGCUUAUCAGCUUGUUGGUGGGGUAGUGGCUUACCAAGGCUUUGACGGGUAGCCGGCCUGAGAGGGUGACCGGCCACAUUGGGACUGAGAUACGGCCCAGACUCCUACGGGAGGCAGCAGUGGGGAAUAUUGCACAAUGGGCGGAAGCCUGAUGCAGCAACGCCGCGUGCGGGAUGACGGCCUUCGGGUUGUAAACCGCUUUCGCCUGUGACGAAGCGUGAGUGACGGUAAUGGGUAAAGAAGCACCGGCUAACUACGUGCCAGCAGCCGCGGUGAUACGUAGGGUGCGAGCGUUGUCCGGAUUUAUUGGGCGUAAAGGGCUCGUAGGUGGUUGAUCGCGUCGGAAGUGUAAUCUUGGGGCUUAACCCUGAGCGUGCUUUCGAUACGGGUUGACUUGAGGAAGGUAGGGGAGAAUGGAAUUCCUGGUGGAGCGGUGGAAUGCGCAGAUAUCAGGAGGAACACCAGUGGCGAAGGCGGUUCUCUGGGCCUUUCCUGACGCUGAGGAGCGAAAGCGUGGGGAGCGAACAGGCUUAGAUACCCUGGUAGUCCACGCUGUAAACGGUGGGUACUAGGUGUGGGGUCCAUUCCACGGGUUCCGUGCCGUAGCUAACGCUUUAAGUACCCCGCCUGGGGAGUACGGCCGCAAGGCUAAAACUCAAAGGAAUUGACGGGGCCCCGCACAAGCGGCGGAGCAUGCGGAUUAAUUCGAUGCAACGCGUAGAACCUUACCUGGGUUUGACAUGGAUCGGGAGCGCUCAGAGAUGGGUGUGCCUCUUUUGGGGUCGGUUCACAGGUGGUGCAUGGCUGUCGUCAGCUCGUGUCGUGAGAUGUUGGGUUAAGUCCCGCAACGAGCGCAACCCUUGUUCACUGUUGCCAGCACGUUAUGGUGGGGACUCAGUGGAGACCGCCGGGGUCAGCUCGGAGGAAGGUGGGGAUGACGUCAAGUCAUCAUGCCCCUUAUGUCCAGGGCUUCACGCAUGCUACAAUGGCUGGUACAGAGAGUGGCGAGCCUGUGAGGGUGAGCGAAUCUCGGAAAGCCGGUCUCAGUUCGGAUUGGGGUCUGCAACUCGACCUCAUGAAGUCGGAGUCGCUAGUAAUCGCAGAUCAGCAACGCUGCGGUGAAUACGUUCCCGGGGCU